This is a long non-coding RNA of Etheostoma cragini (Arkansas darter), 200 nucleotides long. RefSeq lists it as uncharacterized. The record is from RefSeq and is a predicted model, not a curated record. The transcript is spliced from 3 exons. NCBI's taxonomy places the organism in Eukaryota, Metazoa, Chordata, Actinopteri, Perciformes, Percidae.
CUCACAGUCAGACAGCGGAGCUCCUUAAGUCCGACACAGUCUUACCAGAUUUGCAAUUACCCAUCAAUUUUUGUUAAACGGCCCAUAUUUGAGCUCUAAAUAGUUGAUUUCUUGCAUAAAAAAGUCUCAAAAGUGAAUUUAGUAAUGCAAUAGCAGACAAACCAUGUAUGAAAUUUCUCUGUCUUAAAUAUAAGAGUUUC